This 534-nucleotide ribosomal RNA is filed under the name uncultured Gammaproteobacteria bacterium. Its description in RNAcentral is "bacterial SSU rRNA". It matches the Rfam family "Bacterial small subunit ribosomal RNA", at positions 343 to 868 of the family's 1533-position model. Lineage: Bacteria; Pseudomonadati; Pseudomonadota; Gammaproteobacteria. The record is from RNAcentral.
GGGAGGCAGCAGUGGGGAAUAUUGGACAAUGGGCGCAAGCCUGAUCCAGCCAUACCGCGUGGGUGAAGAAGGCCUUCGGGUUGUAAAGCCCUUUUGUUGGGAAAGAAAAGCAUUCGGUUAAUACCCGAUUGUUUUGACGGUACCCAAAGAAUAAGCACCGGCUAACUUCGUGCCCGCAGCCGCGGUAAUACGAAGGGUGCAAGCGUUUUUUUGAAUUACUGGGGGUAAAGCGUGCGUAGGUGGUUGUUUUAAUCUGUCGUGAAAGCCCUGGGCUCAACCUGGGAAAUGCGAUGGAAACUGGGCGAGUAGAGUGUGGCAGAGGGUAGUGGAAAUUCCGGUGUAGCAGUGAAAUGCGUAGAGAUCUGGAGGAACAUCCGUGGCGAAGGCGACUGCCUGGGCCAACACUGACACUGAGGCACGAAAGCGUGGGGAGCAAACAGGAUUAGAUACCCUGGUAGUCCACGCCCUAAACGAUGCGAACUGGAUGUUGGGUGCAAUUUGGCACUCAGUAUCGAAGCUAACGCGUUAAGUGAC